Sesamum indicum (sesame) is the source of this 3056-nucleotide RNA transcript. It is a transcript of the gene named P-loop containing nucleoside triphosphate hydrolases superfamily protein, with no coding region annotated. Lineage: Eukaryota; Viridiplantae; Streptophyta; Magnoliopsida; Lamiales; Pedaliaceae. The record is from RefSeq and is a predicted model, not a curated record.
CGAUUUCACCGCGCUGCUUUACAAUUUACAGCAGUAAUAAUCAGUAUUUUUGUACUCCUCUCCCAAACCUUUGCCACUGCCCUUAAUCUCAUUAUACUCCCCCCAAAUUCAAUUCUAGGGUUUAUUAUUUCCCCGAGAUGUCGAAACGAAAAUUCGGAUUCGAGGGCUUCGGCAUUAAUCGCCAAGCCACGUACAACUUCGAGCGAUCCCAACCGCCUCAACGAUUAUAUGUCCCUCCUUCCUCUCGCGGCGGUGGCGGGGAUGACGACGCCGACCUUGACAAUAUUGAAUACGCCGAGGACCGUGACACGUUAGACGACGAUGUCCCUAACAACAACAACAACAACAACGGGGCUGCCGCUGAUGAAGACGAAAUUGAUCCUCUGGACGCUUUUAUGGAAGGACUGCAGGAGGAGAUGAAGUCUGCGCCGCCACCAAAGGCGAAGGAGAAGUUGGAUAGAUACAAGGACGACGUGGAAGACGAUCCAAUGGAGAGCUUUCUGAAGGCGAAGAAGGAUGUGGGGCUGCAAUUGGCUGCAGAUGCGCUGCACGCAGGAUAUAAUUCAGACGAAGAGGUUUAUGCUGCUGCAAAGGCGGUGGAUGCAGGGCUGAUUGAAUAUGAUUCUGAUGAUAAUCCUAUUGUUCUUGAUAAGAAGAAGAUUGAGCCGAUUCCCGCCCUUGAUCACAGCUUAAUUGAUUACGAGCCAUUUAAUAAGGAUUUCUAUGAGGAGAAGGCUUCCAUUUCAGGUAUGAGUGAUCAGGAGGUUGCCGAAUACAGGAAGAGCUUAGCUAUCCGUGUUUCGGGUUUUGAUGUGCCACGGCCCAUCAAGACUUUUGAAGAUUGUGGAUUUUCUGUGGAGCUAAUGAAAGCCAUAGCAAAACAAGCAUAUGAAAAACCCACACCAAUACAGUGCCAAGCUUUACCUAUUGUGCUUUCUGGAAGAGACGUAAUUGGUAUAGCAAAGACUGGUUCAGGAAAAACUGCUUCAUUUGUACUUCCUAUGGUUGUCCAUAUUAUGGAUCAACCUGAACUUCAGAAAGAGGAAGGCCCCAUUGGAGUGAUAUGUGCACCUACUAGGGAACUAGCUCAUCAAAUAUACUUAGAAGCUAAGAAAUUUGCCAAAGCCUAUGGUAUCCGUGUCUCUGCAGUUUAUGGUGGAAUGUCUAAGCUCGAGCAGUUCAAGGAACUAAAGGCAGGAUGUGAAAUAGUCGUGGCUACUCCAGGGAGACUGAUAGACAUGAUAAAAAUGAAGGCACUGACAAUGUUGAGAGCAACUUAUUUAGUACUUGAUGAGGCGGACCGAAUGUUUGACCUUGGUUUUGAGCCACAGAUAAGGUCGAUAGUUGGCCAAAUAAGGCCAGACCGCCAGACAUUGCUCUUUUCAGCAACUAUGCCUCGAAAAGUUGAAAAGCUAGCUAGUGAAAUUCUCUCUGAUCCUGUAAGGGUAACUGUAGGAGAGGUGGGUAUGGCCAAUGAGGAUAUUACCCAAGUUGUUCAAGUGAUUGCAUCAGAUACAGAAAAACUGCCUUGGCUGCUUGAAAAGCUUCCUGGCAUGAUCGAUGAAGGGGAUGUUCUGGUUUUUGCUUCAAAAAAGGCCACGGUAGAUGAAGUUGAAUCAGAACUUGUGCAGAAGGGUUUUAAAGCUGCAGCACUUCAUGGUGACAAAGAUCAGGCUUCUCGUAUGGAGGUACUGCAAAAGUUCAAAUCUGGAACAUACCAUGUCCUUAUUGCAACAGAUGUUGCCGCACGCGGUCUUGACAUCAAGUCAAUUAAAUCUGUGGUCAACUUUGAUAUUGCUAAAGACAUGGACAUGCAUGUACACCGAAUUGGAAGGACAGGUCGUGCUGGAGACAAAGAUGGAACUGCAUAUACUCUUAUAACACAAAAGGAGGCGAGAUUUGCUGGUGAAUUGGUUAACAGUUUGAUAGCUGCUGGUCAAAACGUGUCGACGGAGCUCAUGGAUCUGGCUAUGAAGGAUGGAAGGUUCAGAUCCAAACGUGAUUCACGAAAAGGAGGUGGGAAAAGAGCUAAAGGAAGAGGAGGUGGUGGUAGAGGUGUUAGGGGUGUGGACUAUGGUUUGGGCAUCGGGUAUAGUCCAGACUCAAAUGCUGCAUCCAGUGUCACUCCUACUCGUUCUGUAGCAGUUAAUUCACUGAGGACUGGGAUGAUGGCACAAUUCAGAAACAACUUUGUUCCUGCAUCAUCAAACUCCCAGAAUCAUUUUGUACAGAACAGUACAGGCGUACAAACCAAUAAAAGAAUGGUUUUACCUGGGUUUGUAUCAGGUGGGACAAUUGGUGGUGACAUGCAUGCUGUACAAAUAAACAGUACAACCAGUGCUGCUUCUGCAUCAAACACUAUCUUGAAUUCAAGAGAAAUUGCAAAACAAACCCCCUCUGAAAGAGAUAAAGCAAGAGAAAGAAGGAGACCCUCUGGCUGGGAUCGCUAGUACGUAGAGGAAUGAGAUGUUUGUCCAUAGAAGCAAACUGUGUUUUGGCUAAGUUCCAUUGAUGCUGUUGUAUCUGUAUUGAUGGCCUGUCUGGAGGGGUUAUAUGGGCUUCUGGCAUAAAUCAUUAGGUAAUUGAACUCCGCAAGUAGGAAUGGCUAUCAAAGUUAUUUGCUUCACAAGAAUGAACAUGGUUCUACGAUAUUUCUACAAUUGUCAUUGAAACGGGCUUCUGCAUCCAGUCUGAGUAUGAAGACUUGUUAAGGAGCUUCUUUAACCAAGUUUGUUGGUCACAUUGAUUAAUCUUUGGGAAGGUGAAAGUACGUAUGAUAUUUGGUAAAUCUUUAUUAAGGCGAAAUGUGUGGUGAUUGUGGAGCUAGGGCAACGGUUUGCCUUAGUCAUCUAUAAGGCUUUAGAUACUGAACUGAAUGCCGUUUAUAUGCUUGGGAGUGAAGGAAUUAAAUGCUACAGUUAUGUAUGGGAUUGGAAUGGUGUGUGCUUCAACAUCGCUGGUAACAUGUGAACUAACAGCGAUGUUUGUGUAUUGCUCUCCUAAUUGAGCAUUAUUCUAUACUCUAAUAAUACAACAUUGAGGAGUAUUAGACUUUA